Molecule: long non-coding RNA, 2599 nt
Organism: Dermacentor andersoni
Lineage: Eukaryota; Metazoa; Arthropoda; Arachnida; Ixodida; Ixodidae
Source: RefSeq, a predicted model, not a curated record
UGGCAUUUAUUGCACCUUUCAUACACUAAUAUCUACCAGCCGAAUUGCUAUCCACGAACAUGCCGAUGGAUGUUCGAGAAAUCGAGGAAGUCCAACUCACCGUGACCGGAUAGCGAGCGAAUAUGUUCGCCCCAUGCUGGAUGCCAAUGCCUGGUCGUUCAUGUGUAUGGUCACGAGAACGGUGGCAAGUUCGAACAAUCAUGUUCGUCCAUUUCAGUGUAGGCCUCGCAUGACGGUGUCGCAGAAGCAUGGAUUGGCACACGCGCAGGACGUCCGCGCCGCUUGCCGACCCAAAGCCAAAGAGCAAGAUCCCGCUCCCUGUCGUGCCUGACUAACCUAGCCGUUAUGUGGCGCUAACAGCGCAACACUCAUGCCAUCUCUCGUAAUGCGCUGUAACCAGACUGCACCGACACUAAGCUACAUGGAGAAGCUGGAUCACAGGCGACGCGAGACAUGCGGGGAAAACAGCAUAUUAGGGGACACGUGACAGUAGCGCAUCCCCACAGUUUUUGCCCUCAGGCAACCAGCUCGAGCCUCAAAUAGCAAGGCACUGCCCUUAGUGUUAUCGUACAGAUUUUGCCUUCCAAUGUCGUUCUUCUCAUUCUUAAAAAUCUACAAGUUCCUUUUUUGUUUCAAUUUUUUGCAUACAAUUCAAUGCCUCUGUUUCUCUUUCUUUUUGAUGACUCCUGGUUGUCUAUGUGCACUUUCAAUUACCCUGUACUUGGUUGGCAACUUUCUUGACCUCUUCCUCCCUCCUGUGUCCACACUUUUCAUGUACAGAUAGAUACUUGUGCAUUUUAGCCGGCCAUUUAUUUUGCUCCAAGUUCCUGAGUCUUUUUUCAAAACUAAUUUUGCUCUGCGCUUCUCCGACUUCAAUACAGGCCCAACCUAUGUCACCCUGCACUGCUUCAUUUGUGGUUUUACCAUAGGCUCCCAAAGCCAACCGGCCAACUGAUCUAUGGUUAACUUCCAACCCUGACAAGAUAUCCGAUUUUAAGCACAGAAUGACAUUUGUGAAUGUCAGCGCUGGCCCCAUUACUCCUUGCCAGAUCCCAUGCACCCCAUGUGCCACUUCAAAUUUAUUGUGGCCCCACAGUGCUGUGCUUCAUUAUUGCUGCAUUCUGCUCGCCCUUUAAUUUCAGAUUAUCUUGGUGAGUGCUUGAGUAAGUAUUUCUUUCAUUUAUGUAUACACUAAGGUACUGCUCGACUAUGGGUAUGACUUGCUGUUGAAUUGACACCACGAAAUUACUCGUCCCUUCAUUAAAAAUCAUAAUUUGUGAUUUCUCUGUGCCAAACUUAAGGCCUAGAUUUGUCGCUGUGUUGCCACACAUAUUCGCAAGUGUCUAUAAAUCUCUUGCAUUGUCCACUAGUAGCGCUGUGUUGUACGCAUACAUCAGUCUGGGGACCUUCUGUUGCACCGUUUGUCCAUUACGCAUGUAAGAUAAAUCAAACCCUAAUUCACUGUUUUCCACUCAUCUUCCAAUGCCCUUAACAUAAAGAGUGAACAACAAUAGAGACAGCGGACAUCCUUGCUUAAGUCCUAGGUGAAUUUCCCCCACAUCAUUACAUUUUCUUUUUUCCUUCCCUAAGAACACUCGGCACCACCUAGCAGCGUCACCACAAAGCCGUGACCUUUGAAAUUCAGGGCGUGCUGGUGCGUGUAAACACUGAGAAACGCAUCCUGGGGCACCCGGGCUCCUCUCUCUGGAGACGCUGUGCCAUCUAGUGGCACUGCCGAGAAGUCUGCGCGUAACCUCCGAGAUGAGAAGCGUGGCACGCCGGUGGCUGCAAAUGCUGAGAAUUCUUCCCUUGCUUGCCGCACACCCAGUGGCACAUACUCAGUCCCCCAAGUUAGCGAAAGGUUCAUUGAAGAGCGGCACAUACCCAGUGCAUUUGUGGUGCAGCUUGCUAAACGUAAGGUUGAUGUCCUUGAGUAACUCAUCUGACAUGGAUUAGACUUCACCCUGCAUCGGAGAAAUCUAAAGUGUAAUGAAGAAUGCCUGGAUGAAGGCAGCAGCAUUGCCAACAGCAUCACGUGCCGCAGAGGGCUGAGCUUAGAGAAUGUGCUUAGUGAACUGCUCUACCCAUCAUUGGUCCUUCGUCUAAUAAACCUCCUUCAUAAUUGGUGGAUGUGCUGAGUCCCCCUCAACUCUACCACCCUGGAACUCCGCACUUGGACGCUACCUUCCACCAUGCCAGAUGCCGACCAGCAGACACUCCCAUCACCGCCCGUCCUCUGCGCUGGCACUAUUCACCAGCAGGAUCCUACCAUCUUCAGCAGAUGGAUGACAAUGACGUCGAAGAUUGGCUUGCGUCCUAUGACUGGGUGUGGCCAAUCUCCGGUUCAAAAACCAUAUGGCGGAUUUCCGAAUGUGGUCAACAUUCAAGACAGCAUUCACAGAAGUAUUUAACCAUCCCACUGUCCACAAACUUCGAGCCGAGCAGCAUUAGCGCACAUGCGUAGAGGACAUAGGUGAAACAUUCACCAGUUACAUAGAAGAUGUCGUCGAUCUGUACAAAUGCAUCAAUGCCAGCCACCAUGUCUGAAGCAGAAUGAAUUAAGCACAUCAUAAAAGAAAUUGAUAAUGAUGCCUGAUAA